UUCUGAGUAGCUCAGUCAGUAGAGCACGAUACUCUUUAUCUCAGGGUCAUGGGUUAGAGUCCCACAUUGGGUGAAA
Non-coding RNA from Podarcis lilfordi (Lilford's wall lizard), 76 nucleotides. NCBI's taxonomy places the organism in Eukaryota, Metazoa, Chordata, Lepidosauria, Squamata, Lacertidae. The record is from the annotation of a GenBank genome assembly.